This is a long non-coding RNA of Vicia villosa (hairy vetch), 1508 nucleotides long. RefSeq lists it as uncharacterized. The record is from RefSeq and is a predicted model, not a curated record. Lineage: Eukaryota; Viridiplantae; Streptophyta; Magnoliopsida; Fabales; Fabaceae. The transcript is spliced from 3 exons.
UUCCCAGAUAUGUCAGGACGAAGUAUCUGGAUAGACGUGUUGCUUGAGAGUCAAGGUUCUAACCAUGUAUAGUGGGACGCAGGUGUUUUGGCAGAUUAUGUUUCUUCGUAUGGAAUGACCCUCAGACAGAGUAGUGAGAUUAUCUGAAGAGAAAUGUGAGUAACAUUCUUUCCCUUGGUUGGAUAGAUGUGAAGAGUUGGUUUUUCGCGAUGAUUGAAAGGAAUUCGAGGACGAAUUCAAUUUAAGGGGGGGAGAAUGUAAUAUCCCAUAUUAAUCUAAGCAUAAUUAAGAGAUACUAAGAAGAAAUGUGUAUUAUUAUAGUGGAUUAGUUAGAAUCCAACUAAGUGGCAUAUUGGUAAUUACCACUUAGUUGGAGGGCAUUAUGGACAUUUAACUCUAUUGCAUGGGCUUAAGGGCAUGUUUGGUUGGUUAGUUGUUACAAAUCAGAUUUUUGGAAAGAGGGACUUAGUAGCAAGUGGGAGAAAGAAGAAAAUCAUGUUCAUCCUUUGCAUUUUCGCAACUCUUGAUACAGCUCCACUAAAUCAGCUUCUGUUUUGAAGGAGAAAAACGAGUUUGAAGUUGGGUGGUCAAUGCUGAAUGUGUAUGAAGGUGAGCUACGAAUUUCUUGCUAAUGGAGAUGGAAGUUUGAGCAAGAGGGAGAUACAAUAGUAGCAAGGGCACCAUCUCAACCUCUAUUAAUCCAAGGUGCAGUUUAGUAGCGUUUAGUCAGUAGCAGGUUUGGACUAAAGACUUGGAAGUAGUGAUGGCUCGGAGACCUCGUCAGAUCUCAUUUUCCGCUGUGCAGGAUCCAUUGAAGACACAUGUUUUGUAAUUAUUAUUAUUAUUUCAUGUUGUAUUCUAAAUGGAUCAUCUUGUAUCCUUAGCUUUUGUAUGUACUCAAUAUCAAUUUUAACGUUUCAUGCAUAAUAUACUAGUCAGUUAUGUAUGGGGUGUUACAGUUGGUAUCAGAGCAGGUCGAUUCUCGGCCGAGCCAUGAGACAUCACUAGCAAUUCCUUUUCCUCCUCUCAAGUGUGCGUUGCUAGCCUGAUUUUUACAGAAAACUCACUCAGUUGUUGAACUUGAUCAACUCAUCGACCGAGUGUGAGACAGUAGAAUUACGGCAGAGCCGCCACGAGGACUCGUAAAACCUGCAAGGUUGUGAACCUAAGUUGUUGGAGUGAGAUGAGUAAUGAAUUGUUGGACGUUUUAAGUGGAUGAUAUUGGAGUCGUCAAGCUUAAGGAGAGCGUUUGACGCAAAGGAGUAAUACCCGAACUGUCAAAGUGUGGAUCGAGACAACUAGAACCCCUAGGAUUUUGAUUGGACGGAGUGAAACUUUCUCUAAGUCUUGGUAAUAGCAAGGGAAAAUCCAAAUAGGAUUGAGUAGGAGCCUUAUAAGUGAGAUUCUCCGAAGGUGUUGAGCUGUGAAUUAGUAGGAUUCAGUACUGAUGAUGCUGUCGGUGUUAAGUGUGACGGGUGAGCUGAUAGGACAAAAUGGCCUCUGGAAAU